This 72-nucleotide transfer RNA is filed under the name Camelus dromedarius (Arabian camel). It matches the Rfam family "tRNA". Rfam says of the family: Transfer RNA (tRNA) molecules are approximately 80 nucleotides in length. Their secondary structure includes four short double-helical elements and three loops (D, anti-codon, and T loops). Lineage: Eukaryota; Metazoa; Chordata; Mammalia; Artiodactyla; Camelidae. RNAcentral also lists the same sequence under 1 other name. The record is from Rfam by way of RNAcentral.
GAGGAUAUAGCUCAGUGGUAGAGCAUGUGCUUAGCAUGCAUGAGGUCCUGGGUUCAAUCCCCAGUACCUCCA